UAGGUGCAAUUGGAAGUUGGAGUUGCAAGUCAAUCUCGAUUAGAAAAGAAAGAACAAGAAGGAAAAAAGCAAAUUCCAGAUUUUCGGGUGCAAUUAGAAGUUGGAUUUGCAAGUCAAUCUCGAUCAGAAAAGAAAAAACAAGAA
Molecule: long non-coding RNA, 144 nt
Organism: Rosa chinensis
Lineage: Eukaryota; Viridiplantae; Streptophyta; Magnoliopsida; Rosales; Rosaceae
Exons: 2
Source: RefSeq, a predicted model, not a curated record